UCAGCGUCAGCAGAUCGUGUGCUCACGAAACAGGUGAGCGUUAAAUCACGAAUGAAAUAGCAGGGGCAUUUGAAAGCGAUUCUCUAAACACAAUCACGUAAAAACUCCAUUUCGAAGGAUUGUACAUAACUUUUCUUCUAUCUGUUGCUUUUUUUUUGGCCAGAUAUGUUGAUAAGGGUGAAGCAGCCUAAUAUUGCAAUCUUUUAACAAGAUCCAUGUUUUUUUUAACAAAUAUUGAGAAGCUAAUCAUUCUGUCAGGAUGUACAAUGCUUCUAAUAAUAGUUAUUUUGAUAACAGCCUGUGUUGUAUGUCCAAAGUGUUACAUCAACAAAAAGAUUACACAAAAACGAAAAAAGGAAGAAAACGAACUAAAAUGCUUAAGAAAUAGUUUCCCACUAAGCUUCUUAGAAAAAGAACCACCUCCACCUUACGAUUCAACAGCUGGAAAAUCUCACAUUGACAUUGACUCUACAAUUGAAUUUAACAGAAGGUCUGUGAACAGUGUUACAAGUAUUUGUUCUGAAACAGAUUCAGUUGCAGGAAUACCUUUGCCACUAUUGGUAAGUAUCAAAAAUUUGAUAGAUAUCUUUUUAUUUUAAUUUUUUAAGAGUAUGGAACCCCCAGGGGCACACUCUUGUGUGACGGGCAUGGCGCACCCGGGGCCCCGAGCUGGACCUGAGCAUUUUUCUAUUUCUCUCUUGCGACGGUCCUGUUUCGAUUUUCCGACCUUUUAUCAAAUGUUUAUAUUGACCUAGUGGACGAAUUUUAUUUCAUUCAAAAACACUGUUUAUCAGUUAGAGAUUAUAUAUCUUCUAAUUUUUGUUUGUUUUCUACUGGUUUUGUCGGGUUUCCUGAUUUAUGUUUCACCUAUUUAUUUUAAAUAACCAAUCUUUCCCUAAAGCAUGCAGACUAACAACG
Non-coding RNA from Parasteatoda tepidariorum (common house spider), 918 nucleotides. The record is from RefSeq and is a predicted model, not a curated record. NCBI's taxonomy places the organism in Eukaryota, Metazoa, Arthropoda, Arachnida, Araneae, Theridiidae.